Molecule: transfer RNA, 94 nt
Filed under: Escherichia coli
Lineage: Bacteria; Pseudomonadati; Pseudomonadota; Gammaproteobacteria; Enterobacterales; Enterobacteriaceae
Description: tRNA-His(gtg)
Source: RNAcentral
CCGGGCUGCUGGUCUAUGGGCGUGGCGUCAGUUGUGAACUGACGGUGGAUGAAGAAGGUUUUUCCGGCAUCAGUCCGUAUCUGUUCGGCCUGGU